ACUUAUAUAAUAUAAAAUAUUAUAAUUGAUUUCCAAUCAAAAAAUCUAUUAAUUUAGUAUAAGUA
This 65-nucleotide transfer RNA is filed under the name Hypsathalia przewalskyi. Its description in RNAcentral is "tRNA-Gly". The record is from RNAcentral. Lineage: Eukaryota; Metazoa; Arthropoda; Insecta; Hymenoptera; Athaliidae.